Molecule: ribosomal RNA, 2314 nt
Filed under: Triticum aestivum (bread wheat)
Lineage: Eukaryota; Viridiplantae; Streptophyta; Magnoliopsida; Poales; Poaceae
Description: partial small subunit ribosomal RNA
Source: RNAcentral
GGAUUGACCAACCCUAUCCACCAAUCCCCCGUCCGCCUCCUCCUCCCCUGCUCGCUCGCCCCGCGUGCGGUCGCCCCCACUCACGGCGAUGAGCGGGCAAGGCCGCGUGAGCCGAUGGGCCAUUGCAGUCGCCGCCGGGAGCGGCUGCCUCCUCUUCCCUUCCGGUCCCCCGGUUCCUCCUCCGCCGCCGUCGCCGCUCUCCACUGGCUGGUGAGCUUCACCCCUCCCCUCCUCUCCUUUCCCCCACAAUAUCCACCUCCUGCCCCCAUCCUUCGCGCCCGAGAAGCCGUGGCCGUCGCUUCAUCGAGGGAACGGCGUGCCGGAUCCGGCGUCCCCGUUCCAUGUCGGCCACCGUCCUCUUACCACCCGCCUCCCGCUUCCCGACCCAUCCCCGUCUCUCGACGCGGCGCAGGUAGGAGCUGGCUGUUCAAGUGUCCAUUGACGGCGGCGAGCCCGAGCCGGCGACGUAGAUCUUACCGGUGGACUGCCGGUCGUCGACGCGUUGCCUCGGACUCCCACAGACGCAGCAGCAGCCGCAGCAGAGGAUGGCCACCGAGGGGAGAAAUAUUGCAAUUUAUGGUGAGACUGCUGAUGGUUUGGAGGAUGACGGCAGCCUGGAGCAGGAGCGUUUACUCGCUGUGCCUAUGGUAGUGGCGGCGACGAUGGCGCGUAUGGUAGUGGCGGCGACGAUGGCGCGUAUGGUAGUGGCGGCGGCCAGGACGUGCCCUCGGCGAUCUCGACAUCCAAGUCAAGGAUUGGCGGCGCAAGAACGAUGGCGCUGCAGGGGAUCGAACCAGAGGAAUGUGAUCCAUCCUGUCAAGAUCGGUUUCUGCGUGUGGGUCUGACGAAACACCAUCAAGAGAUAGCUGAAUGUUUCAACCAAAGGGGUGUGUCUUUAAUUUUCCUUUUAAGAAGAAAGAAAACUUCUGCAGCAAAAUACCAGGAAACUAAAUGGAACUCAUAAAGCUCAGGAGCAUAAUGGACGCCAGGUGAGUUGAGCUGCGGCUUGGAUGGGGAUGUUGGUGCUGUUCAAGAGGCCUGCUGGGUUUGCCUUUUUCAAGGUUCUGAACCAGGGCAGGAUCUAUGGAAGAAGUUCACGACUCGGACUCGACGAGAAAGGUUUGUGCUUCAUCUUUUUUUUUGAUGGCAAAAUAACUUCUCUUUAUGAAACAAUCAGUACUUCAUAUAUCUAUUAUAACAGAGUAAGUCAACAAAAGCCCUUUUAUUUGAAUGAACAAGAAUCCGUUGUGUGCUGCUGAGCUAUGUGCCCCUUUUCCAAAUGUUAUAAAUGUUAUCUUAACUUAGUUGUCACAUAGAAGUUGGUUUGGGCUACUGGGCUCAUUUGAUGUUUGCAUGACUUAUUUGAACCCGAUGCCAGCCUCACCGGCAUCCUGAGGCGACAGAGCGACGGCCGCGCUCGACACCCUCUUUCGCAACUCGACGACAGCCUAGCGUCAUAGGCGACCCAUUUGGGUGGGCGACAACGACCGCAGCUGGUGCACGCGCUCACACUCAACCCGUCCAUACUCAACUCUUCCUCUCGGGUGCGGACUGAGAAUUGGAUGCUCUGUGCCAGCAUAUGGAAGUGUUGUGACCACUGUUGUUCCGGAUGUGAGAUUUGUAAGUUUUUUGCUUGGGAGCCAUCUAUUUAGCCAUGUUGGAGUAGGCUAUAUGAUUUUUUCAGUUUUGACCACGUAUGCUUCUUCCUUGGUCUGUUCACCAAGUCAUGGACACCGACUCAAAAAAUGAACAAGGUUACCCCUUCAGCUGCAGGUGCAGGUAAAUCAUCUUGCAAUACCCAUGGUGCCACACGUGUUUUAUUCACCAAUCCUGUCAAGAGAAAUCAAAAUCAAGACGCCAAUCAGCUUAGCCUUGGGCUGCUCCUUUUCUGCCUUUUGUUUCCUGUAUACACUCAUCUUUCUUUGAUGGACCUGAAUUUCUUUUUGUUGUGUUAGGUUGACGGUGACACUGCAGAUGUAGCUUCUCUGACCGCUACCGAAGACACCGCUGAACAGCUUAAUCAGACAAAGACAAAGUGCUGUUAUGUAGGCAUGGUUUAAAAACUAGAGCCUUUGGCUGGUCAAGUACCCUUGCCAAAGCGUUCGUGUAAUCUCUUCAAGUUGUAUGAAGCAAAUUCUAUGUAUGUAACACCCAGGAAGAAUAUUAUAAUAAUUAUAUAGAAGCAGAGAAUCAACCUUGCUAGAGCGUUUGUCAAAUAUCUACUCGAGUAGCCUUGCCAAACUUUAUCUGCUGUGUUCUUCACAUGUUGUUUCAGUACAUUCUCUAGCGUAAAAUUUCCUUUUCAGUCAAGCAA